GAUGAACGCUGGCGGCGCGCCUAACACAUGCAAGUCGAACGGCACCUAUCUUCUGAUAUAAGCGAGUGGCGAACGGGUGAAUAGCACGUGGAAAACCUGCCCCCUCCCCCGGGAUAGCCGCCCGAAAGGACGGGAAAUACCGGAUACCCGCGGGCGCCGCAUGGCGCCCGGGCUAAAGCACCGGCGGGAGGGGAUGGCUCCGCGGCCCAUCAGGUAGAGGGCGGGGUGACAGCCCGCCGUGCGCGAGACGGGUAGCCGGGUUGAGAAACCGACCGGCCAGAUUGGGACUGAGACCCGGCCCACACUCCUACGGGAGGCAGCAGUGGGUAAUCUUGCACGAUGGGGGGAACCCUGACGCACCGAGGCCGCGUGCGGGACGGAGGCCUUCGGGUCGAACACUGCUUUCAGCAGGGAAGAGUCAAGACUGUACCUGCAAAAAAAGCCCCGGCCAACUACGUGCCAGCAGCCGCGGUAAUAUGUAGGGGGCGAGCGUUAUCCGGAUUCAUUGGGCGUAAAGCGCGCGUAGGCGGCCCCGCAUGCCGGGGGUCGAAGCGGGGGUCUCAACCCCCCGAAGCCCCCGGAACCUCCGUGGCUUGGGUCCGGUAGGGGAGGGUGGAACACCCGGUGUAGCGGUGGAAUGCGCAGAUAUCGGGUGGAACCCCGGUCGCGAAGGCGGCCCUCUGGGCCGAGACAGACGGUGAGGCGCGAAAGCUGGGGG
RNAcentral lists this ribosomal RNA (718 nucleotides) under uncultured bacterium. Its description in RNAcentral is "bacterial SSU rRNA". It matches the Rfam family "Bacterial small subunit ribosomal RNA", at positions 28 to 766 of the family's 1533-position model. The record is from RNAcentral.